GUGCUAUUUUUAAGGUUUUUGCUAUUUUCCAAGAAAGGUAACUCUGUCGACCUUGUUUGAUUUUAAUCUUUACUUUUGUGUGAUUAUGUCCCCUUGACCACAUUUGCUAUUUGCUCAACCAUAACGUUUCCCUCCUAAAGUUAGGGUCACUUGAGGUCAUUCUUUGUGUAAUCAGAAGUUGAUGGUCAUAGUGACAUGAAUAUAUGUUUUUCUGACUUAGAAAUUAUUAUUAAUAAGGAUUUGGAUUGAGGAAUUGGUAUUUUUUACAGCAUAAUUAACAGCACGGUGAGACAGGUGUGAGACAGGUGUGUUAUAGAAGGAGUUUGAUCCACAAUCGGGCUCGUUGCUAUAUGCUACAUGCUAUUAUGAUGAUAUAUGAUGCUAUGUGAUGCUAAUUGUUAGUACUAUAUGUGUGCUAUGAAAUGUUGAUCUGAUGGACUAUAUAUAUUGGUGUCUACUACAAAUUAAACAAGAACCAGCAACCCUCAAGUUUUGUUUUGAAUUUACCCAUAGGGAAAACACAACUGGGUCACAAAUGGCGCCCAACGGAGUUUAAUAAGUGGACAUUUAAAAUUUUAUAUUUGUUUCCUGUGUGAACACUUUUCACUGAACAUUUUUGAUAAUUUUAAUUGAAAUUAAACAGUGAAGUGCAGGAAGUUCUACCAACAGUGUAUUAUAUUAUACAAGUAUUUUCAUAUAGUUUGUUUAUUAAACAGACAGUUCUUCAUAUAGUAAAUCAUUUUAGAAUAUUUACGAGAUGUGUUAAAUUUGAAUACUCAUCAGUUAACUUAUACAGACAUUAUUUGAGAAUAUUAUUCGCUACAAGAAUUCAUCACUUCCCAGUGUAGAUCAAGGAUUGUUCACUUUAAGAAGUUAUCAUAA
Long non-coding RNA from Ruditapes philippinarum (Manila clam), 882 nucleotides. RefSeq lists it as uncharacterized. The transcript has 3 exons. The record is from RefSeq and is a predicted model, not a curated record. NCBI's taxonomy places the organism in Eukaryota, Metazoa, Mollusca, Bivalvia, Venerida, Veneridae.